AGCACGGAGAGCGGGCUUCCAGCCGGCCGACACCAAAGAGGAGACCAGAGAGACUGAGUCAGCUCUCCCUGGCCCAGUUCCUCUUUCUCCGUGCUCCAGCUUUUGCGCAGGGGGUGCCUUUCCCUCGGCAGAGCAGCGGUCUGGGUGGUGCGCCCGCCCCUCCUCCACUCCCAGGAGGGAGCGCCCCUCGGCAGCGCCGCUCCCCCGCCUUCGCUGUCUGCAGCGAGCGCCCCCUCGGCCGCGGCCCCCCUUGCAGCGGGCGCACUCCCUGCCAGUGCCCACUCUUGCAGCGGUUCUUCAGAGAGUACUUCUGGAGUGAAAGUUCCCAGGACGGCGCUCACUCCUGCCGGGGUGGGCUUCCAGCGCCCUGGGCCGCCGCAACCAGGGGCCUCUACCUCCUGCAGGGAGCUCCCAGGCGCCGUUUCUGUCCCCAGCGGCGGGCGCUCCGGGGCACUGUCCCCCCCUCCCCCUGGUCUCCAGCCUGCCGGGGCAGCGCCACGCCCCUCCCCCUGGCACCAGGGACCCUCUUUACCCCCAUACGUCCAUCACGCCGAGGCAACCCCUUUCUCUCUGCGGGAAUUUCCCUUUUUGGCCAUGCCCCUGGCCCCGGCCCAGCCACAGCUGUGACCAGUCCCCCAGGGCCGGAUGGGUGGGCCUGCCUCACCGGGUUGGGGACUGGGAUGGAAAAUGGUGGUUCCAGGCAGAUUCUUGCGAUCUUCUCCAACUUCUGUGUUAACGGAUGAAAUUCCGGCUUCCUGAAGUGAAGUAAUUUGUUCCAGGCUACACACCUCAUCUCUCUUGGCACAGGUGUGGCUCCAGUGGCAAAGCCUGCCAGUGACGCUCCAGUGGCCAGGGAUGACGCUCCACCCACCAAUGACAAAGCUCCACCCAUCAGUGAUGACACUCCAGAGGCCAGUGACAAAGCUCCAGCGGCCAAAGACCCAUCCCCAACACCCUCAUGUAUAAUUUAGAAGUAAACUUCAGGAAGUCACGGUCCUUGUUGAUUGUGUCACUGCUGUUUUAUAACUACGGUCUGACCAGGUCCCAAGAGGUCUUGUCAGUCCUGGUGAAGACUCCAAGGGGAGCAGACAGCCCGGGAGCACAGGUGAGAUGCGAACCCUGGCAGGGGGGACAGGGCGGCUUGGGAGUCAGCCGCUUGGCUCUGCUGCCUUCCUGCACUCAGCCUGCACCAGUUCCUCUUUUCCCAUUGGAGGAUAUUUACCAGUAGAAGAUACCCAGGGCAGAAAGACAAGGAAGUGUGGGCCAUCUCCUGGAUCCGAUGUCAUUCCUGGUACCGAGAGAGUCUGAGGGAAGCAUGCUUUGCAGAGGAGAUCUGGAAAGGCUCCAAGUUCACAUAAGAUUCUUUGUUGAUGUACAAAUCCCGAAACUCUUUUAUGUAGUUGUAGCCCAUUUGAAAGUACAGUUUUGUGUUCUCCUCAUGGAGCCUUGCCCAUACGUAUUGCCACACAUAAUAGAUUUUUGUACAUGUUGUCUUCAGUGAAAGCAUUAGUCAAGUAGUUCUCCAUCUUUCCUUAAUCAGCUCUCAGUUUUAGGGAAGUUACAUACUUUCAACUUCCCUGAUAUACAAAAUGAGGCUCUAAACGUAUUUGUACAAAUUGCUCCUCCUCUCUUUUGAAUUAUUCCUUUGUGGCACAUUUAACAAAACGGAAUUAUUGGAUCAAACAGUAGGAGACAUUUUAUAGCUCUUGUUAGUGCCAAAUGAGGCAAUAUUUGGAGGGCAGGGGUCAUGAAACUCUUAUAAAAUAUUUAAAGAUUGGUUAUGAAGAGGAAUUUGACUUAUUCCGAUGGCGCACCAUGGCAGGGUGACAGGGAAAUCUUGCAAAUAUACAGAAAUAGAUAAGGUCCUAUGCAAAAGAGUUUUUAACAUUUAGAGCUGCCCCAAAUGGGACAAACUUUUUCCAUAGAUAGUAAGUCCCCCUUUGCUGAGAAUUUUAAGCAUAAUGAGUUUAAGAAAUAGAGAGAUUGCUUUCUAAGCUCUUCUGAUUUGUGAUCUGUAUAUUUCCCUAGCCUCAUUCCUUUGCGCCAAAACAGUUUGUUAAACGAGCAUUUAUUAAUACAUAACACGUUGCAGCUGCGUAGCUGCAGCCUCAAGCCCUCACUGACAGACGUCUAGCAGAUCCAGAGUCUCCUGCGGCAUCCAAUCUGGGGAUUCCAACGGCAGUGAAGCCAGAGCCUUCCACUGCCCCACACUCGAGAACGGCCAAGUGGGUGGGUCAAGGUGCUCCACUUCCUGGACAUCUCCUUUUCUGUGCUCCUGGUCUUCCUACAGAUCUCUGUUCACACUGCUCCUCUCCUACGACCCCCAGCACCAAGCUCUGCAUGUGCUGUGUGGAGCCAAGCCCAGCACCCACGGGAUUGACUCCAAAGGAUUGUUACAUUAUCUUGUUUUAUUUCUGUGAAAAGACAUUUGCAUUUCAGAUGAGGAGUUUGGAACUCCAAAGAAUCUGUAAUUGGGGGAAGCCAGCACUCCUAAUUUAGCUCCCACCAUGAACACAUGUUUACACACACUCUGUCUCUUCCAGGCAAACACUAGAAGUUCAUUUCUUGAAUGAACCAUUGCUUAACAACCUUUUUUCUUUCCUUUUUUUUUUUUUUUUUGUAAAACUACUUUGCGUGGUAAAAUAUAGUCUCAAAAUUCCAAGUUUGGCCUAGGAGGAAAAGUCCCCAUUGAGAAUGGAGUCUCAACCAUAAUCUCAGAAUUAUGCUUUUUCUAUUUUAUUUUAUUUUAUUUUAAUUUUAUUUUUUGACAGGCAGAGUUAGACAGUGAGAGAGAGAGAGAGAAAGGUCUUCCUUUUUCCGUUGGUUCACCCCCAAAGUGGCCGCCAUGGCCAGCGUGUUGUGGCCGCACGCUGCACUGAUCUGAUUAGCCUAGUGAGCUGUGGCGCCAGCCUUUGCUUUUCCUUAGAGCAUAUGUUGCUGAAUUCUUCUGCCACCACCACACUGGCCUCUGGGAAGGCCCCUUCCCCUCUCGCAGUUCCUCCAGAGUGCAUGUGAGACUGUCCCCAAGCCAGGAGAAGAACCCGUCUGUAGGCCUCACAGUGCAGACGGAGGAGAGCACAGGGGUGAGCUGGAAACCUGGGCUCCAUUCCAAUGGCCCCAGUGGCACCACUGCCGCCUGCACGCGCUUGAGCCUGAGCCUUGGCCGCUGCGUCAUCGGUGGCCUCCUUCCCUUCUGAAAGGCUCAGUAAAGUCAACAACCAUGGGAACACUUUGCAAAUAUCAUGGCCACAGCCAACUGUGCCGUGUGAACAUGCUGCAGAGAAUGGGUGGGUCUUGUCUUGUCAAUAUGAGUUUUUAAAAUGUCUCCUUUGUGCCCAACAGAGAAUAUUUAGAGGGCUGUUUGGCUUUUUAAAAUUUGUGUUCCUUAUGUUGAAGCUGUGAAUCAGAAGCCUAGUUCUCCCUUAAGCUUCUAUUUGUAAUGAACAAAGAAAUAAAAUCUAACAAUUGAAGAUUGCA
This is a non-coding RNA of Oryctolagus cuniculus (rabbit), 3477 nucleotides long. NCBI's taxonomy places the organism in Eukaryota, Metazoa, Chordata, Mammalia, Lagomorpha, Leporidae. The record is from RefSeq and is a predicted model, not a curated record.